AGGUUUUUCUGCGGAGGGUAAAAACCUCCUCUAUUACUGACUAUUAUUUUGAGGGGGUUUUAACCUCCCUUAUUUUCAACUAUUUAAUUAAAAUAAAAAUACCUGUAUUUUUUAUAUGNUAUUCAAUUCACCAUAUUGCUGAAAUAAUAAUGAAUAAUAAUAAAAUAUAUAUAAAAUUGUAAAAUACAGAAAAGUAAUUCAAAAUUAAUUUUAUUGAUGAUUUAAAAUAACAUACAUUCAUUGACAAUUACAAUGUUUAAAGANCAUUACAACUUCAUCCAUAAUCACUAAAAAUACAUAAUAGACUAAAUAUAUUUCUAUCCUAAACCCUCAAAAUGUUGUUAGCAUGAGAUAAUCCUCUUGUACUCAAAGAAGACUUAGACUUAUUUGUAUCAACAGCCAGUGAAGACAACAUAAUUCCUUCAAAAGGACUAAAUUAUUAAUCAAAUAUUGAAGACCACAAAAUCCUAUCUACAAAACUGACAAUCUCCAUACAUGUCCGAUAUUAGAGAUGUAUAUGUUUUUACUUACUUAUACACUCCAAUUUCAACUUUUCCCUCUUUCCUCAACUCAACUUCAACUAUCUCCUCUGCUCCCUUCAAAGCAUGCACAAUACUUGUACCAAGAAGAGACUGCUUCUCGGAUUUGGAAGAGAGAUUUGGGCUGCAAGAGUGUCCAUGAUUCUGUAAAGCUGAAUCAAUUUCAUUCAGUGGAGAGAAAUGUGUACAUGAAUUAAUUGGAAAGUCAUCUGAAUGUCCUAUCCAUUUUGUGUCCCUUGUCCAUUACAACAAUCUUGUUGGCAGAAGACAUUGCAUGCACAUAAAUUUAGAUGCAUCAAUAAGUUAAUCCUUAUUAGUACACCUUUUUAUAGAAAUACAAAAUAUCACUGAAAAUAUCAUGUUCUUCUGAACUUAAUCAGAAUGCUUGACAAAAAAAUAAUGUAGUUAUGACAAUAAAUGAUAGUUUUGAAGAGAAUAAUUAANANAGUAAAUAAUGGUUUUGAAGACAGUACACAAUAACCUGAAUAUUAUGGGUACAGAGAAAUAUUUCUUAAUUGAUCACGUCAAUACCCCUCUCCCUAAAAACAAACUGCAUGUUUCAUCAAUUUUCACCUCUUUAACUCAACAAAGACUUUAUUCCAGCUUAAAUAGAUAUGGAUUACAAUCAUUCCAAUGAUCAUACUCACAUAUAAUUUCANCCCUGUAAUGUAUCCAUAAUAAAAACAGAACUANCACCCAUUCAUUAGAAACAAACUAGUAGAUAAAAGAAAUUCCAAGAAUCCAAGUUUCGACCACUAAAUCAUGCUUUGCUUCGUAAUAAUCAACUUAACACAUAAUAAUCCAUAUAUUGCUUAGCAUAACAGUAUAUUUAAACAUAUCCUUCCUAGUUAUAACUUAUAAAACACUUAAUAAAAUACAAAUUGUUAUUUCACCAAUUUAUAAUACAUCAACCAUCAAUUCUAUAAAAUGUAACCUUAAUUCAAAAGGAUGUGUGUUUUAAAUGUAUAAACAUUAAUUAAAUGUUG
This 1525-nucleotide long non-coding RNA is filed under the name Vigna radiata. RNAcentral's name for it is "long non-coding RNA (VRAD_LNC011086)". The record is from RNAcentral. Lineage: Eukaryota; Viridiplantae; Streptophyta; Magnoliopsida; Fabales; Fabaceae.